AGCCCCGUGGUGUAGCGGUCCAUCAUCAGCGGCUCUGGCCCGCUGGACCCAGGUUCGAGUCCUGGCGGGGCUACCA
This 76-nucleotide transfer RNA is filed under the name Candidatus Thorarchaeota archaeon. RNAcentral describes it as "tRNA-Gln". It matches the Rfam family "tRNA". Rfam says of the family: Transfer RNA (tRNA) molecules are approximately 80 nucleotides in length. Their secondary structure includes four short double-helical elements and three loops (D, anti-codon, and T loops). Further hydrogen bonds mediate the characteristic L-shaped molecular structure. tRNAs have two regions of fundamental functional importance: the anti-codon, which is responsible for specific mRNA codon recognition, and the 3' end, to which the tRNAs corresponding amino acid is attached (by aminoacyl-tRNA synthetases). tRNAs cope with the degeneracy of the genetic code in two manners: having more than one tRNA (with a specific anti-codon) for a particular amino acid; and 'wobble' base-pairing, i.e. permitting non-standard base-pairing at the 3rd anti-codon position. The record is from RNAcentral. Lineage: Archaea; Promethearchaeati; Candidatus Thorarchaeota.